UUAAAUCGGAGGAGAUGGUACCUGGUCAAGAAGAGGCUUUCAUCCUCUUCAAACAUCUUUCUGAAAGGAUUUCCAAAACAUGAAAAAAGAUGGACUGUAAAAUUGGACAAACAUGGCUACCCAAACUGACAACGCUAGCCUGACGUUACAUACGGGCAUUUGAGCAGUAACGGCUAACUGAGGAGGACAGCAGCUGGCAGGCAAAGUAAACACACUUUUACUGUUCACAAGGCACGGACAGUGUGUGACGAGUGAGGACUGGAUUUGCAGAAGAACAUUAAUAUUUCCUGAAGACGUGAUGGCUACCUGGAGAAUCAUCUGCAGCAAAGCUCACUGCAGCACGGGCCACCGCAGGCUCAACAUAAACCUCCAGCUCUCCAUCUGAGCGCUGAUUGGACGGUGGGACUUGCUCGUGAACGCGCCGGCGUGGACACGCUGCCUGUGUUUCCAGGAGACUCUUCUACGUGCCCGCGCGAGCCUCCUGCCCCUGUGCUGUAAUUUAUAAGAAGCUUCGCGUGCCCGCCAGUGGAAUGCGCGCACCCGCUAACACCCCCCCACCCCCCCCCCCCUUCCCAGCCCCCCUUGCAGCUCAUGUCCGACGCUAAGUGGAGUGCACCACUGAUGUAGAUUAUAAAAUGUAAAAUAU
Long non-coding RNA from Cottoperca gobio, 646 nucleotides. RefSeq lists it as uncharacterized. The record is from RefSeq and is a predicted model, not a curated record. Lineage: Eukaryota; Metazoa; Chordata; Actinopteri; Perciformes; Bovichtidae. The transcript has 5 exons.